UGUAGUUGACCUCUGGGGAAAAUGUACUUCUGACAUCUCGAUCAAUCCGGCCCAGUGAUUUUAGCUCCGGCAGGAGAGAUGCCGAGGGAGGCUCCAACACCGCAGCACAGGCUGAGCUCCCGUGCAGGAUCCGUCCCCUGAGAGCAGACGGCCCAGGCGCUGACCUGCUUGCGUGACUUCUGCAGCCGCUUUGUGCACGGACAAGAUCCCCGGUUUCCCAGGGAAGUGUGAUUUGGUGGAGCUGGCUGAAGCACGGAGAAGAUCAAAGGAUCAUUUCAGUUUCUCAUUUUAUGAGGGGGGAGGUCCUAUAGGAACAUCACAGCCAUUUGUGUCUCUCCAGACCAAGACUUCAUCUGUGUCGCCUCCAGGGCCUCUGUGGGAUACAUGACCCCAAAGAGGUGCAACGUGAAGCUUCACAGCACCCCAAGUCCCACUCCGGAUCAGCGCUCCUAUAACCAUCCCCAUCACAGGUGUUGGCAUGGGUUGGGUGGAGAAUGAACCUACAGCAAUUACCAUUUGGAAAAUAAAUGUGGUCAAACGUUCCUUGAAAA
Long non-coding RNA from Oxyura jamaicensis (ruddy duck), 551 nucleotides. RefSeq lists it as uncharacterized. NCBI's taxonomy places the organism in Eukaryota, Metazoa, Chordata, Aves, Anseriformes, Anatidae. The record is from RefSeq and is a predicted model, not a curated record. The transcript has 2 exons.